Molecule: ribosomal RNA, 406 nt
Filed under: uncultured bacterium
Lineage: Bacteria
Description: partial 16S ribosomal RNA
Rfam family: Bacterial small subunit ribosomal RNA
Source: RNAcentral
AUUGAACGCUGGCGGCAGGCUUACCACAUGCAAGUCGAGCGAGCGGCGGACGGGUGAGUAAUGUCUGGGAAACUGCCUGCUGGAGGGGGAUAACUACUGGAAACGGUAGCUAAUACCGCCUACCAUCAGCUGUGCCCAGAUGGGAUUAGCGAGUAGGUGGGGUAAUGGCUCACCUAGGCGACGAUCCCUAGCUGGUCUGAGAGGAUGACCAGACACACUGGACAUGAGACACGGUCCAGACUCAGACGGUAGGCAGCAGUGGGGAAUAUUGCACAAUGGGCGCAAGCCUGAUGCAGCCAUGCCGCGUGUGUGAAGAAGGCCUUCGGGUUGUAAAGCACUUUCAGCGAGGAGGCGUUACUCGCAGAGGAAGAACGGGCUAACUACGGGCCAGCAGCCGCGGUAAUUC